UGCAAGUCGAACGCGAAAGCGGAGCAAUCCGCAAGUAGAGUGGCGAACGGGUGAGUAAUACAUCGGAACAUUUCCAGUAGCGGGGGAUAACCUGUCGAAAGAUAGGCUAAUACCGCAUACGACCUACGGGUGAAAGCGGAGGACUCUUGGGCAACUGAGGGCUUCGCACUAUUGGAGUGGCCGAUGUCGGAUUAGCUAGUUGGCGGGGUAAAAGCCCACCAAGGCUACGAUCCGUAGCUGGUCUGAGAGGACGAUCAGCCACACUGGAACUGAGACACGGUCCAGACUCCUACGGGAGGCAGCAGUGGGGAAUUUUGGACAAUGGGCGCAAGCCUGAUCCAGCCAUGCCGCGUGAGUGAAGAAGGCCUUCGGGUUGUAAAGCUCUUUCGGUGGGGACGAAACGGUUCGUGCUAAUACCACGGACUAAUGACGGUACCCGAAGAAGAAGCACCGGCUAACUACGUGCCAGCAGCCGCGGUAAUACGUAGGGUGCAGGCGUUAAUCGGAAUUACUGGGCGUAAAGCGUGCGCAGGCGGUUUGCUAAGACAGAUGUGAAAUCCCCGGGCUUAACCUGGGAACUGCGUUUGUAACUGGCAAGCUAGAGUGUGGCAGAGGGGGGUGGAGUUCCAAGUGUAGCAGUGAAAUGCGUAGAUAUUUGGAGGAACACCAAUGGCGAAGGCAGCCCCCUGGGUUAACACUGACGCUCAUGCACGAAAGCGUGGGGAGCAAACAGGAUUAGAUACCCUGGUAGUCCACGCCCUAAACUAUGUCAACUGGUUGUCGGGGAAGCAAUUCCUUGGUAACGAAGCUAACGCGUGAAGUUGACCGCCUGGGGAGUACGGCCGCAA
Molecule: ribosomal RNA, 848 nt
Filed under: uncultured beta proteobacterium
Lineage: Bacteria; Pseudomonadati; Pseudomonadota; Betaproteobacteria
Description: bacterial SSU rRNA
Rfam family: Bacterial small subunit ribosomal RNA
Source: RNAcentral